CAUUGUUGGAGAGUUUGAUCCUGGCUCAGGACGAACGCUGGCGGCGUGCUUAACACAUGCAAGUCGAACGCUGAAGCACUUUCGGGUGUGGAUGAGUGGCGAACGGGUG
The sequence is a ribosomal RNA, 109 nucleotides long. It matches the Rfam family "Bacterial small subunit ribosomal RNA", at positions 1 to 108 of the family's 1533-position model.